This 164-nucleotide ribosomal RNA is filed under the name Arabidopsis thaliana (thale cress). RNAcentral describes it as "5.8S ribosomal RNA". It matches the Rfam family "5.8S ribosomal RNA". From Rfam's summary of the family: 5.8S ribosomal RNA (5.8S rRNA) is a component of the large subunit of the eukaryotic ribosome. Lineage: Eukaryota; Viridiplantae; Streptophyta; Magnoliopsida; Brassicales; Brassicaceae. The record is from RNAcentral.
AAAACGACUCUCGGCAACGGAUAUCUCGGCUCUCGCAUCGAUGAAGAACGUAGCGAAAUGCGAUACUUGGUGUGAAUUGCAGAAUCCCGUGAACCAUCGAGUCUUUGAACGCAAGUUGUGCCCCAAGCCUUCUGGCCGAGGGCACGUCUGCCUGGGUGUCACAA